UACAGAGGUCCCGAGCGUUGUUCGGAUUCACUGGGCGUAAAGGGUGCGUAGGCGGUCGGAUAAGUCUGACGUGAAAUCUCGGAGCUUAACUCCGAAACGGCGUUGGAUACUAUUCGGCUAGAGGAAUGGAGGGGAGACUGGAAUACUUGGUGUAGCAGUGAAAUGCGUAGAUAUCAAGUGGAACACCAGUGGCGAAGGCGAGUCUCUGGACAUUUCCUGACGCUGAGGCACGAAAGCCAGGGGAGCAAACGGG
RNAcentral lists this ribosomal RNA (253 nucleotides) under uncultured bacterium. Its description in RNAcentral is "partial 16S ribosomal RNA". It matches the Rfam family "Bacterial small subunit ribosomal RNA", at positions 524 to 776 of the family's 1533-position model. The record is from RNAcentral.